AGCCAUCAUUUAAAGAAAGCGUAAUAGCUCACUGGUCGAGUCGGCCUGCGCGGAAGAUGUAACGGGGCUAAACCAUGCACCGAAGCUGCGGCAGCGACGCUGAUGCGUUGUUGGGUAGGGGAGCGUUCUGUAAGCCUGUGAAGGUGUGCUGUGAGGCAUGCUGGAGGUAUCAGAAGUGCGAAUGCUGACAUAAGUAACGAUAAAGCGGGUGAAAAGCCCGCUCGCCGGAAGACCAAGGGUUCCUGUCCAACGUUAAUCGGGGCAGGGUGAGUCGACC
RNAcentral lists this ribosomal RNA (277 nucleotides) under Escherichia coli. RNAcentral describes it as "partial 23S ribosomal RNA". It matches the Rfam family "Bacterial large subunit ribosomal RNA", at positions 1114 to 1389 of the family's 2925-position model. Lineage: Bacteria; Pseudomonadati; Pseudomonadota; Gammaproteobacteria; Enterobacterales; Enterobacteriaceae. The record is from RNAcentral.